Molecule: ribosomal RNA, 253 nt
Filed under: uncultured bacterium
Lineage: Bacteria
Description: partial 16S ribosomal RNA
Rfam family: Bacterial small subunit ribosomal RNA
Source: RNAcentral
UACGGAGGGUGCGAGCGUUGUUCGGAAUCACUGGGCGUAAAGGGCGUGUAGGCGGUCCGCUAAGUCUGAUGUGAAAGCCCGGGGCUCACCCCCGGAAGUGCAUUGGAAACUGGCGAACUCGAGUCCCGGAGAGGAGAGUGGAAUUCCUGGUGUAGCGGUGAAAUGCGCAGAUAUCAGGAAGAACACCAAUGGCGAAGGCAGCUCUCUGGGACGGUACUGACGCUGAGACGCGAAAGCGUGGGGAGCGAACAGG